This 254-nucleotide ribosomal RNA is filed under the name uncultured bacterium. RNAcentral describes it as "partial 16S ribosomal RNA". It matches the Rfam family "Bacterial small subunit ribosomal RNA", at positions 524 to 776 of the family's 1533-position model. The record is from RNAcentral.
UACGAAGGGGGCUAGCGUUGUUCGGAAUUACUGGGCGUAAAGGGCGCGUAGGCGGUCCUUCAAGUCAGGCGUGAAAGCCCCGGGCUCAACCUGGGAACCGCGCUUGAGACUGGCGGGCUAGAGUUCGGGAGAGGAUGGUGGAAUUCCCAGUGUAGAGGUGAAAUUCGUAGAUAUUGGGAAGAACACCGAUGGCGAAGGCAGCCAUCUGGACCGACACCUGACGCUGAGGCGCGAAAGCGUGGGGAGCAAACAGG